This 298-nucleotide long non-coding RNA is filed under the name Elaeis guineensis (African oil palm). Its description in RNAcentral is "long non-coding RNA (EGUI_LNC050806)". The record is from RNAcentral. Lineage: Eukaryota; Viridiplantae; Streptophyta; Magnoliopsida; Arecales; Arecaceae.
ACCUUUUACCUAAUCUUCUUUAGUCUGACUUGAUGAAGUCAGUGGGAGGAUUAAGAUUAAUUGGUCAAAUCUUUUCUUAUCUCUCAAUUCAACUAAUUAAAUCCUCUAAAAUUGUUAGAUCCCUAAAAAUAAAAUAGUUAUAGUAAUAACUAGAUCAUAGCCUCCUAUUAAGUUGGAUGAUAAUGAGUCCAAUAGUUUAGAUAAUCAUUGGAGGUGCCAUAUGUCUGGUGCUCAUCUAACUGUCAGAAUUAUCAUUCAUAAUAUAUUAUUUUAGUUGGUCCUUCUGAUGAUGGUCAGG